Molecule: transfer RNA, 71 nt
Filed under: Ictidomys tridecemlineatus (thirteen-lined ground squirrel)
Lineage: Eukaryota; Metazoa; Chordata; Mammalia; Rodentia; Sciuridae
Description: Spermophilus tridecemlineatus (thirteen-lined ground squirrel) tRNA
Rfam family: tRNA
About the family: Transfer RNA (tRNA) molecules are approximately 80 nucleotides in length. Their secondary structure includes four short double-helical elements and three loops (D, anti-codon, and T loops).
Source: Rfam by way of RNAcentral
GGGGUGGUGGCUCAGUGGUAGAGCACUUGCCUAGCAUAUGCAAGGCACUGGGUUCAAUUCUCAGCACCGCA